RNAcentral lists this unclassified non-coding RNA (476 nucleotides) under Hevea brasiliensis (rubber tree). The record is from RNAcentral. Lineage: Eukaryota; Viridiplantae; Streptophyta; Magnoliopsida; Malpighiales; Euphorbiaceae.
AAGAAGAGAAGUGCUUGAGGAAGUUGAAAGCUUUACAGAUAGAAAGCAAGCAAUCGAAGUAUAGGGAUAAUCAAAAGCGCAUUACUGAAUCAAGUAAAGAAAACAGAGAGACUGUGAGGAGAGACGGUGGUCAAGAGAAAGAUGAUGGAAAGCGAUGGCUUAGAAAUCACAUUCGAGUCAGAAUUAUAAGCAAGGACCUGAAAGGAGGCAGAUUUUAUUUGAAGAAGGGGGAGGUGGUAGAUGUGGUUGGUCCAUAUGCAUGUGAUAUAUCCAUGGAUGAGACUAAGGAGUUGGUACAAGGGGUAGAUCAGGAUCUUCUUGAGACUGCAUUACCACGUCGUGGGGGUCCUGUCCUUGUUCUGUAUGGGAAGCAUGAGGGGGUGUAUGGUAAUUUGGUUCAGAGGGAUUUGGACCAAGAGACUGGGGUUGUGCAAGAUGCUGAUACUCAUGAAUUACUCAAUGUCAAACUUGAACAA